ACGUAGGGUGCAAGCGUUGUCCGGAAUUAUUGGGCGUAAAGAGCUCGUAGGCGGCUUGUCACGUCGGGUGUGAAAGCCCGGGGCUUAACCCCGGGUCUGCAUUCGAUACGGGCAGGCUAGAGUUCGGUAGGGGAGAUCGGAAUUCCUGGUGUAGCGGUGAAAUGCGCAGAUAUCAGGAGGAACACCGGUGGCGAAGGCGGAUCUCUGGGCCGAUACUGACGCUGAGGAGCGAAAGCGUGGGGAGCAAACAGGA
Molecule: ribosomal RNA, 253 nt
Filed under: uncultured prokaryote
Description: partial 16S ribosomal RNA
Rfam family: Bacterial small subunit ribosomal RNA
Source: RNAcentral